This 507-nucleotide long non-coding RNA is filed under the name Nicotiana benthamiana. RNAcentral's name for it is "long non-coding RNA (NBEN_LNC023696)". The record is from RNAcentral. Lineage: Eukaryota; Viridiplantae; Streptophyta; Magnoliopsida; Solanales; Solanaceae.
AUAGACGCAACUUUAUAGAUUGUUUUGAAGAGGGCCAAAACGUUGCUCUUCAAGAGUUGCUUCUUAUCUUUAAUCCGUGAACGAGUGUUUUACCAAAUUAUCAUCUUCUCUUCUACUUGAUCAUUAGAUUGUCGACGCUGCUACUAUUCUGUUUUCCUUACUAAAUCCAUGGCGAAAUCUAUCUUGGCGAAAAUAUUUUGUAAGUUACAUAGCAGAAAACCCUCAUAUCUGUAGAAACUUUCUCAUAUUCCCCCUUCGCUUUGUUUCUCCACUGGUUCUUUGAUAUGUUUACCUUGAUCGGUUUCUAAAUCUACUUCUACAAUUUAUCUUUGAAGUUAAAUAUUUCUGCGAAUUGUUAUAAUUUAAAGAUGAUUAUAGAUUAAUUGACUUUGAAUUUUUUUGGGCUUUGAUUUCUUUAUUUCUUUGUUGCCUUUUGGUUUAGCCGAGAAUAAUAAAUUGGAUUCUUCUGCCAAUAAGGAAUUAUACUAAAGUAAUCUGACUUAUGGC